UACAGGGGGGGCAAGCGUUGUUCGGAAUUACUGGGCGUAAAGGGCUCGUAGGCGGCCAACUAAGUCCGACGUGAAAUCCCAAGGCUUAACCUUGGAACUGCGUCGGAUACUGGAUGGCUUGAAUUCGGGAGAGGGAUGCAGAAUUCCAGGUGUAGCGGUGAAAUGCGUAGAUAUCUGGAGGAAUACCGGUGGCGAAGGCGGCAUCCUGGACCGACAUUGACGCUGAGGAGCGAAAGCUAGGGGAGCAAACGGG
Molecule: ribosomal RNA, 253 nt
Filed under: uncultured bacterium
Lineage: Bacteria
Description: partial 16S ribosomal RNA
Rfam family: Bacterial small subunit ribosomal RNA
Source: RNAcentral